AUUGAACUCAUGGUUGUAAAUUGGAAAAAGAUUUAGGGACUAUAAAUUGUAUUGGGGUUAAUAUAAAAAAAAAAGCACGUGUGAUAAUGGUAAUAAGGGGCGCAUUUUGAUUAGAAUGAAUAGUGAUGGUUGUAAUUCACCUGGAGUGUAUAAAGUAAGCUUUGAGGUAAUAGUAAACCCAUACUUAUGUGCAUGAAGAUAAAAACACUAUGUUAAUUGAGCUUGUUAUGC
This 231-nucleotide long non-coding RNA is filed under the name Theobroma cacao (cacao). Its description in RNAcentral is "long non-coding RNA (TCAC_LNC001668)". Lineage: Eukaryota; Viridiplantae; Streptophyta; Magnoliopsida; Malvales; Malvaceae. The record is from RNAcentral.